Molecule: ribosomal RNA, 274 nt
Filed under: uncultured bacterium
Lineage: Bacteria
Description: partial 16S ribosomal RNA
Rfam family: Bacterial small subunit ribosomal RNA
Source: RNAcentral
AUACGGAGGGUGCAAGCGUUAAUCGGAAUUACUGGGCGUAAAGCGCGCGUAGGCGGUUUGAUCAGUCGGAUGUGAAAGCCCUGGGCUCAACCUGGGAACUGCAUUCGAUACUGUCAGACUAGAAUAUGGUAGAGGGUAGUGGAAUUCCUGGUGUAGCGGUGAAAUGCGUAGAUAUCAGGAGGAACAUCAGUGGCGAAGGCGGCUACCUGGACCAAUAUUGACGCUGAGGUGCGAAAGCGUGGGGAGCGAACAGGAUUAGAAACCCUAGUAGUCC